Molecule: long non-coding RNA, 251 nt
Filed under: Glycine max (soybean)
Lineage: Eukaryota; Viridiplantae; Streptophyta; Magnoliopsida; Fabales; Fabaceae
Description: long non-coding RNA (GMAX_LNC003948)
Source: RNAcentral
UUGUAUUUCGGGGCAUUUUGAGUAGUCUUUGUAGUAAGGACUUUUUUUUUGUAUUUUCAUGUUUUUUUGUCAUGGGGGUGAGCUUAGUUAUUAUAGGGGGUGUGUAGCUAAGUUCUAGCUUCUCAUCUCAAGGAGGUGAGCUUAGCUAUUAGAGAGGUAUGUGUAGCUAAGCUCUAGCUUCUUUAGGAAUCUUCUUAAGGAAGCUUCUCAAGGAGGUGAGCUUAGUUAUGAGAGGGGUGUGUGUAGCUAAG